CCCAGUGGUCCUGGGGGGGAGAUGCCUCCUGGCACGGCUGGGGGUUUUGGUGUCCUGGAGCACAGAAACAGAGCCGUGUGCUGCCCCAUGUGCUGCCCCACUGACUGACAGACCAUGGGGCACCAACAUCAAGGGGUGGAGAGAGCCCAGAGCCUGAGGCACCCGUUCUGGGGUGAGAAGAGAAAUGUGAGAGCUGGGCUGGGUGAGACGGGGAGGAUGCACUGCUGGCAGUGCUCUGGGCAGCUCUGGCAGGAGGAGCAUGGGGCAGUGGAGUCCAUCAGCGUUGUAUCAGCCACCCCCCAACAGGGCACGGGCUGUGCUAUUGCUCUGUGGGGCAGAGAUGGAGCAGCUCAAUGGGGAAGGGUAAUGAGGGAAUUGGUGCAGGGUCUGCACUGGAACGUGACCCAGGGACCAAAGGGGCACAAGGGCUGUCUCCAAAUGUGAGGCUGAUGCUGCCCCAAACCAUCCCAUGGGGAUGCUGCCCUCCCUGGGGAUGUGGCUGCAGUGCCAACACAACACAGAGGGGCUGUGCUGUGGGGACAGCCCUGUGCUGGCCUAGGGAAUGGGGCUGGGGGAGCCCAGUGGGGUCCUGUCCCUCUCUGCCCAUUCCCAGACCAGCCCUGCCUCUGUCCCCAGGCUCCGGGAGAGCUGGGGAGCCCUUCCCUGAGGCCGUGUAUGAGGAGAUCGCUUACAGCCUGGCGUGGGAGAAGCAGCCGAGGUUCAGUCUCUCAGAUGUCCCUGUCCUGCCCGGAGGUUACCCAGCAGAUGGCUAUGAUGAUGCUGGGGAGGUUUCUGACCCUGGGGAGGAUCCUGUCCCUGGGCAGGGGGACUGGGAAGUGCCCAGGACACCAGAGGAAGGAGAUGGGCUGAGGCAUGCAGUCACAGGUGAGAGGGCAAUGCAGCACUGCCACUUGCUAGAUGCCAACCCCAGGCCUAGGAGAAUCCAUGCCAUAUUGAAAGCCUGACCAUCCAUGGAGAACCUGUCCUGGGAUAUUUUGUGGGGGCUGGGAGAAUGGGCCAAAUGUCUCUAGGCUGGUGAGGACGAGGAAGGUGAUAAACAGCCCCAAGGGGCACCUCACAGGCCCAACCACAGCAGCCUGCUUUGAUGCUUACAGGGGGAAGCCUGCACUCCUGGAGAAGUGCUGGGGUCCCUGGAGCUGAUGGAGACACCUCAUCACCUUUCCUGGGGACCACGGGCUAUGACGAUGUUGAAGAGGUGUCUCUGUCAUGUCCCUAUGAAGACACACAGGAUGUCACACCAGAGCCCCGUGCACAAGAGUUCCAGAUCCCCAGGCCAUCAGAGCCCAGCCCUGCUGAGCAGCUGGGUGCAGCCGGGAGGGAGGAGAGCUCAGUGCCAUUGGGAGAGCCGUGAGUGCCAGGGAACGGUCUCCCUUUUCCAGCAGUCAGCAGACACACAUGGGUAUUUCCCCUCUUGGUAUUCCCGUUUUAACGCUGUGUGUUGGUAUUUCCUCAUAUUAAAACCCUCUGGGGGCUUUUCCCCAGGUCCAGUGCUUCCCUGCCCAGGUGUCAGGGUGUCUCCCUGAGGCGGAUGGAGGGGAG
RNAcentral lists this long non-coding RNA (1560 nucleotides) under Anas platyrhynchos platyrhynchos (common mallard). RNAcentral describes it as "lncRNA (ENSAPLG00000021529.1)". Lineage: Eukaryota; Metazoa; Chordata; Aves; Anseriformes; Anatidae. The record is from RNAcentral.